Molecule: ribosomal RNA, 439 nt
Filed under: uncultured bacterium
Lineage: Bacteria
Description: bacterial SSU rRNA
Rfam family: Bacterial small subunit ribosomal RNA
Source: RNAcentral
AGGAGGCAGCAGUGAGGAAUUUUCCGCAAUGGACGCAAGUCUGACGGAGCAACGCCGCGUGCAGGAGGAAGGUCUUCGGAUCGUAAACUGCUUUUCCCAGGGAAGAGAACGGACGGUACCUGGGGAACAAGCCUCGGCUAACUACGUGCCAGCAGCCGCGGUAAUACGUAGGAGGCAAGCGUUGUCCGGAGUUACUGGGCGUAAAGCGCACGCAGGCGGUCCACCGCGUUUGAGGUAACAGCUCCCGGCUUCACUGGGAGAGCGCCCCAAAGACGGGUGGACUCAGAGGACCAGAGAGGGACAGAGAAUUCCGGGUGGAGUGGUGAAAUGCGUAGAUAUCCGGAGGAAUACCGAAGGCGAAGGCCCUGUCCUGGUUGGUUCCUGACGCUCAGGUGCGAAAGCUAGGGGAGCGAACGGGAUUAGAUACCCCGGUAGUCCG